GGUGAGUAACACGUGGAUAAUCUGCCUCUAUGAUGGGGAUAACAGUUGGAAACGACUGCUAAUACCGAAUACGCUCAUGAUGAACUUUGUGAGGAAAGGUGGCCUCUGCCUGCAAGCUAUCGCAUAGAGAUGAGUCCGCGUCCCAUUAGCUAGUUGGUGGGGUAACGGCCUACCAAGGCAACGAUGGGUAGCCGAUCUGAGAGGAUGAUCGGCCACACU
RNAcentral lists this ribosomal RNA (219 nucleotides) under Desulfovibrio piger. RNAcentral describes it as "partial 16S ribosomal RNA". It matches the Rfam family "Bacterial small subunit ribosomal RNA", at positions 105 to 314 of the family's 1533-position model. The record is from RNAcentral. Lineage: Bacteria; Pseudomonadati; Thermodesulfobacteriota; Desulfovibrionia; Desulfovibrionales; Desulfovibrionaceae.